RNAcentral lists this transfer RNA (69 nucleotides) under Rattus norvegicus (Norway rat). It matches the Rfam family "tRNA". Rfam says of the family: Transfer RNA (tRNA) molecules are approximately 80 nucleotides in length. Lineage: Eukaryota; Metazoa; Chordata; Mammalia; Rodentia; Muridae. The record is from Rfam by way of RNAcentral.
GGAGAUUUAGCUCAGUGGUAGAGCGCUUGCCUAGCAAGCACAAGGCUGUGGGUUCGGUCCCCAGCUCCG